GGGGAGGAACUGACAGACAGAGGAGCGCAGCUCUCUGCGCUGGUAACAGUCUUCCUCCUCCUCCUGGGUCCACUGAUGACCCACUGCACCACCCUCUUCUACCCAUUGGACUGUAGUGACAUCUAUGAUCAGGUCGCCAGCCGACCCAGUGGAGUUUACAUCAUCUAUCCCAUUGGAGCCACGUCUGCUACCCAGGAGACGCUCUGAGUCAUGUCAGUGGACAGAAGUUCUCCACCUUUGACAAAGACCGGGACACCUGGUCUGGAAACUGUGCCAAGUCGUUCCUGGGGGCGUCAUGGUACAGCAACUGUCAUAGUGCAAACCCCAACGGGGUUUAUCGCUGGGGUGCUGACAGCACCAUCUAUGCUGUUGGAGUUGCUUGGCACCCGUGGAAGGCUGAUGAAUACUCGCUGAAGGGCAUCAGCAUGAAGAUCCGUCCUGUGCGGUGAAUCUGCAGAACCAACACAGAGCAGAACAUCAGGGGGUGGUCUGUGAGUUUUUCUCUCAUUAAUCACUGAGUCUCACAGUAGGCCGUAUUUUUUGAAAGCACAGUCCACCAGCACAAGAAAACUAACUGUUGUCAUCAUUUUUCAAAUAGCCUGUUAAAUAUAGCAUUAAAAUAUUUCUUGUAUUAAAUCUUUGCUGUUAGAAAAGGAUCAUUCUUGCUAAAAUGUUAAAAAUAAUACGUCAGUUACUCCUUCAGUGAUUUGAAAUGUCUCCGACACCUACACGCAUUUAUCAGUAACUUCUUGACUUAGUGUUUCUCCACUUCUAACUUUAAACUUUAUUCACAUCAGAAUAAGGAGACAGUUGUACUUGUUUACAUGAUAGUGGUUAACAACAAAUAUAGUUUGUUUUUUAUGCAGGUGUUUGUUAUGUUGAAUGACAAUGAAUUAUUUUUAAAAAACUGAAAAUAAA
This is a long non-coding RNA of Monopterus albus (swamp eel), 918 nucleotides long. RefSeq lists it as uncharacterized. Lineage: Eukaryota; Metazoa; Chordata; Actinopteri; Synbranchiformes; Synbranchidae. The record is from RefSeq and is a predicted model, not a curated record. The transcript has 3 exons.